RNAcentral lists this long non-coding RNA (2830 nucleotides) under Homo sapiens (human). Its description in RNAcentral is "HSALNT0330049". The record is from RNAcentral. Lineage: Eukaryota; Metazoa; Chordata; Mammalia; Primates; Hominidae.
UGUUCUCUGUUUUGUGGGCUGAAUAUUUUUGAGCAGGGAUGGCAUUAUUUAGAGCUUUUUAUUGGUAGCCUACUGAGUGCUCAAACCUGUGCUAGUCCCUAUAGGGAAUAUGGAAAGACUUCUUGGAGCCAUUAUUAUGCUAGUGUCCAUUGUGAUGCUCCUGGCAAGGGCAUUCUCCUAUUCCUAUGACCACAGAGCUUCCCCUUCCCCUUUGCCCUGAAGAUUCUCUCAUGGGACUAGUGUUUCAUUGAAUAACAUGUUGGUUAUGUGUAGCAUGCUGGUUACGUGUAGCAUGCUGGUUAUGUGUAGCAUGCUGGUUAUGUGUGGCAUGCUGGUUACGUGUAGUGUGCUGGUUACGCGUAGCAUCCUGGUUAUGUGAGGCAUGCUGGUUAGGAGCUCUAGGCUCAGGAUCUUGAUUCUGCCCUCUUUGGUUGCAUGAGCUGUGCAAGCUGCUUAACAUCUUUCAGGCUAACUUUCUAUAUUUGUAAAAUGGGAAACAGACUUCUUAGGAAGAUUUUAAGAGAUGUCUUACAGGACCUGGCAGAUAUAUGCUCAAUAAAAAGUAAACUAGCUGGUGUUGCUGCUGUUGCUCUUACUGUUGUUUUUAUUGACUUGAAUAAAGGAAUCUUGCACCUGUCAAAAUGAAACACUACAUAGUAGGUCCUGAUAUUUUGCCAUACUCAGCUGGUGAUAAGAAUCAGAGAAGCCAGCCAUUUGAAUAACUAUGAUUUAUUGAAUUCUUACCAUGUUCUAAGUUCUUUAUGUAUACUGUUUCGUUUAAUCUUCACAACAAUUCUAGGAGUCAGGUUCAAUUGUUAUUGCCAUUUGAUAGAUGAUGAGGGCAAUGAGUCUUAGAGAGGUUAAAUAAUUUGCUAAAGGCCACACAGCCUGUAAAGUGGCAGAAGCUGGGACCAUCCAACUCUAAAGCCCACAUUCUUAGACAUUAGGGGAUAUUGAAUGAAGUGUGUGUAUGUAUGGGGGAAUUUAAGAGAAUAUCAAACCAUUUGUAGAGUUCUACCCAAUAUAGAGACCUUAUCUAAUGUAAGAGAACUCUGAAGACAUCUCAUUGAUUGAAUGCUCUCCCCUUCAUAGCAACUUCUUCUGCGGCUUCCUUGCCUGGUGCUCCAGUCUUUGAGGGAAGCACGGCUGGCACGUUCUUCCGUUUGGAGACAUGGUUGACAAUUUCUCCAUAAUGGGGACACAACUGGCAAUUUUCCUACAGAGUGAGGCAGAUGGCAAUUUUCCUUCAGAGACAUGCAGGCAACAGUUUUGCCCCUGGAGAGAAAAGCCUCGCCGAUUGAGAUGCAGCCAGUAAUUUUUACUAUACAGAAGACACAUCCAAUAAUUUUGCCCAGUGAGAGAAACGGCCAACAAUUUUCCCACAGAGGACAGGAAAAACAGACCAAAAAUUCAUAGUGGGGAGAAGUGAGGAGCAAAUGGGCUGGUAUGACCAAGAAAGACUUAAUAAGAAGCUGAGCCUUAAAUGAUCAAGAAGCACUGGAUAGAUAAGAGGAAUAAUCAUUUAUUAGCCAAGCGGGACUGGUGCCUUUUUGAGAACUGUCAUUCUGGAAAGAUAUUGAUUGAAGGAGGCCUCUGAGCACAUUCUCUCCAGCAGGCAGCCGUAAGGGAGGCGGCUGCAGUCCAGACAAGAUGAUGAGUUGGCAGUGAGCAUCUCGACAGGAGCCUAAUGAAGAAAUCUGGUAACAGCGAGGGCUGGCUUUAUGAGCGCUCAUAUUUGGUCUUUCACUCUCUGCAAGGUUGGUGAGUGGCAAAAGUGUCCAUGGGCCUCUACCUCCCACUGUGGAAUUACACAUUCCUACAGCCAGUGGGCUCCGGGAACCCAAUGGCAGCAUCCCCAGGCCCCUGGGCCCACUCCACACAUCACAGGCUAGAGACUUCUUGUCUGCCUCCUUUCUCACGUCUCUCCCCCUGAGAUAGCAUGCUCUCCCCUCCCUCCUUCCCUCUCAUAAUUUGUUCCCAACAGGUAGCUUUGUGCAGUUACUCCAAGAGAAGCCCGAACUCCCUGGGGAGCCUCUGCCCAGGUGGAAGAGCUCUCGAGUGGCUAUUAUUAGGGGUGAUUGCUGGGAAGCUGGUUGCCAUGGCACCGCAGAGGCCAGUGCUGAACUCCCAAGCUGCCCCGUUUCCAAGGCUGUCUACAUAAUCACUGCAAUGAGAGGCACAGGCACAGAAAGGGAGAGAGGAGCAGCUCCCCACUGACAGUGAUCUCCCUGCAGAGCAAGGUUCCUGGAGUUUGCAAACAUCGAGUAGUGAUAGUCUUCCAUCUGCCAGGCACUGCGCUAAACUCUUUAUGGAGACAAAGAAAUGAUGCUCAGAGAGUCAUUUGCCCUUGGUCACAGGCUAAGAAGAGGCAGAGCUAGGACGUAAACCCAACUCUGGCUCUAUGGCAUCUCAUAUAGCAUCAUUUUUCCUCCAGUCCUCUGACUAGAAAGGGUGGCCCCUUCAACCUGGUGCUGAGAACAGACACUGGCGGCCCCACACCUCUGAAGGCAUGGUUCCAGCAAAUAGAAAUUGGACUGGCAAGGAUUAAACCGCUGGUUUGGGCUUCAUUAGCUAUGUGAUCUCACCAACCACAGAGAAUUAACCAGAGUGGAGCCAUCUCUUUACAGACUUAACACAAUGUACCGAGGCAAUGUGGAGAACAGUCACUGAAUUUAUUGAGCACCUACUACCUGCUCCAGACAUGCCAUUAACACGUGGGCUAUCCUUCCCUUCCACAGUCACUCUAGAACUUGAGGCCACUGUCCUCUGAUGCAGAGAGAAGAAACAUUUUAUAAUCACUGUAGACAAUAAAGGCUUUAUCUGUUAGCAA